GUCACCUAUAACCACAGCUUCAGCAUUUGUGUUUUCCUCUGGGGACCCUGCGGACAAGGAUUUCCUCUAUGCUCCUGCUCCUGGCCUGCUGUGGGGCUGUACAGAGUCCUGAUCCCCACGUGAGGGAGGGAGGCAGCCAGCACCGGUGCCUUGCUGCACAGCCCUGCCGAGAUCCCCACCAGUGCUUCCCCCAGUGAAUCCCCCCGAGGCAAGCACCAAGAAAAGUCCCCACCACCUGCAUUUUUUGCGCCAGACUGUCUUCACGGAGAACUGCUUGCACGAAACACAUUAUGUUCCAGAGUCUGGUGGCCCUAAAUAUUAGAGGAGAUGGCUCCUAGCUCUUUGUGGACUGGUCAAGUUGGCUGCAGUCUGGGCUAAAAGAAACAUGAAGCAGAGCAUGAUCAUCACAGCAGAGCUCCAUGGCAAGGAUCAGCCACAGCCUGAUACGAUACCUGUGUCUGGGAUGUGCAAUGGAUGCAAGGAAUUGCAGCCAUGAAGCUUAUACGGAGUCUCUGAAGAACCUGUUACACCCAGGUGUGCUGUGUGUCAGAAAGAAGAAAAAAAGAAGCGAGACGUGGCUGGUUGUCACCACAGACAACCUGUGCGAUCCUCAGCGGGACCGCAGGGAGAUGGAGGAGUGAAGCCCUCUCUUCACAGCACCUCCUGCUGGCAGCCCAGCCAUUGUGCUGGGGCAUAGAAGCCCUUGGAGGUAUUUGGCUAAGCCUCGCCGGCCGUAUGCAGGCCCUGCUCCUGGGGGAGCUGGCUUCAGCUUGCCCUUUAGGCUAGAAGAUGAAGCCAGCAGCAGCAGCAGAUGCCAUGAUCUCAUUCCCAAAUGCUUUUCCACAUGCCUGAGAUGGGUUUAGCAGGUCUCUUGGCAGAGGUACUGAACCACUUGAGUAGAGAUUGUGACCCAGCUGUCCCCUGUAAGAGGUGCACGUGUGGCCAGCAGUCAACAAAGACCCAACCUCUGGUUACGAGCCCUUGAAUGCAAGUCCUGGGAGCUGCACCAGUGGCCUUUCGGAGCUGCCGUCUCCUCCUCCUCCUCCUCCCCUUACACCCCCUCUUUGCCUUGGGCUGUGGACCAGUAUUUAAUACUGGAGCCCGCUUCUAGGUGACUCUUGUCCAAGCAUGCACGCUCAGCCCGAGGUACAGCUGUUCAGAAGGUGCUGGCCCUGUUCACUGCUGCCUUCCCCGUGGCCAAAGAGGCAAAGCGGACAAAAGACUCGCAGUUCAAUCUACAGCAGCUAAUAGGCAAGGACAUCUCUGGUGGCUCAGAGCACAAGUUCAUCUUUCCGAGCCUCGCUCCUGUAUGAGUGACCGACAUCAGAUGCAGACGGGAAGAACGUGCAAUGGAGGGAGAAGCAUCGACGGACCUACCCACCCAACAUCCACCAGCCCAGCCAGAGGCUCUAUCUACAUCUUUGGUUGAAAUAUCAGUUAACGUCACUUCCAGGCAGGAGCAGAGACCCUGUUGCCAGCCCUGGGAACCUCUGAAGGAGGUGGGCUCCCACCAGCUCCUGGAAACGGCCAGAGCAACUAUCGAACAUCCAACCCCCAGCUUUUGUCAGAAAGCCAGUACUCCCAGGCUUGAGAGACUUCGUGCACCCAAGAAAAGGUGGUGCAUCCUCUACUGCCCAUCUCUGGGGCACAGCCAAAGCCUUGCUGCAAGACAAACUGAGCCAAGCUUCCUUCUCCUGCCAGCACAGCAAGGAAGCCCAAAUCCAAGCAAACCAAAAGGAAAAAAGUGUCGGGCUGAGCAUCCCUCGAGAGAAACGCCUCCAAACUGCUCACUGCUGGGGUCCCAGCACCCAACUGAACGAGGCUCCAGCCGUGAGCUCCUCUCCUGCAGGAGCUGGGACCAGCCCGGCGGGGACGAGGAUGAGGAGCAGCACACAGAGCAAUGUCCCAAAGCUGUAGACGACCGAGGCUACGAGAGCACCCAACUGCACAGCACCUUCGGGAGCAAUUUGAUGAUGCUGCAAGUCACGUCUCCAAGGAGCUGCAGGUGCAACAUCUGAUGGAGAUGCUCCAGAUGCUACCAGGCCUCGCCGAUCCACGAUCAUCCCCUUCCGGUGAAUUAUGGCCACUUGGAUGCUCGGCAGCCCCGGGGAGCGAAGCUCCGUGCCUGCACAACGCGGCCGUGACGUGUCGGCAGCGCCCAACGCCCGAAAGGAGCACG
RNA transcript from Cygnus atratus (black swan), 2179 nucleotides. RefSeq lists it as uncharacterized. The record is from RefSeq and is a predicted model, not a curated record. Lineage: Eukaryota; Metazoa; Chordata; Aves; Anseriformes; Anatidae. The transcript is spliced from 13 exons.